RNAcentral lists this transfer RNA (76 nucleotides) under Actinomycetes bacterium. RNAcentral describes it as "Actinobacteria bacterium tRNA-Glu". It matches the Rfam family "tRNA". From Rfam's summary of the family: Transfer RNA (tRNA) molecules are approximately 80 nucleotides in length. Their secondary structure includes four short double-helical elements and three loops (D, anti-codon, and T loops). The record is from RNAcentral. Lineage: Bacteria; Bacillati; Actinomycetota; Actinomycetes.
GCCCCCAUCGUCCAGCGGUCUAGGACUCCGCCCUUUCAAGGCGGCAACACGGAUUCGAAUUCCGUUGGGGGCACGA